This 468-nucleotide ribosomal RNA is filed under the name uncultured bacterium. Its description in RNAcentral is "bacterial SSU rRNA". It matches the Rfam family "Bacterial small subunit ribosomal RNA", at positions 28 to 519 of the family's 1533-position model. The record is from RNAcentral.
GACGAACGCUGGCGGCGUGCUUAACACAUGCAAGUCGAACGGUAAGGCCCUUCGGGUACGACGAGUGGCGAACGGGUGAGUAACACGUGGGUGAUCUGCCCUGCACUUCGGGAUAAGCCUGGGAAACUGGGUCUAAUACCGGAUAGGACCAUGGACUUCACGGUUUGUGGUGGAAAGCUUUUGCGGUGUGGGAUGGGCCCGCGGCCUAUCAGCUUGUUGGUGGGGUAAUGGCCCUACCAAGGCGACGACGGGUAGCCGGCCUGAGAGGGUGUCCGGCCACACUGGGACUGAGAUACGGCCCAGACUCCUACGGGAGGCAGCAGUGGGGAAUAUUGCACAAUGGGCGCAAGCCUGAUGCAGCGACGCCGCGUGAGGGAUGACGGCCUCGGUGUAACUCUUCAAUAGGACGAAGCGCAAGUGACGGUACCUAUAGAAGAAGCACCGGCCAACUACGUGCCAGCAGCCGCG